CUACGGGGCGCACCAGUGGGGGAUAUUGCACAAUGGGCGAAAGCCUGAUGCAGCAACGCCGCGUGAAGGAAGACGGUUUUCGGAUUGUAAACUUCUAUCAGCAGGGAAGAAAAUGACUGUACCUGACUAAGAAGCCCCGGCUAACUACGUGCCAGCAGCCGCGGUAAUACGUAGGGGGCAAGCGUUAUCCGGAUUUACUGGGUGUAAAGGGUACGUAGGCGGUUUAUUAAGUCAGAUGUGAAAGCCCGGGGCUCAACCCCGGGACUGCAUUUGAAACUGGUGAACUAGAGUACAGGAGAGGUAAGUGGAAUUCCUAGUGUAGCGGUGAAAUGCGUAGAUAUUAGGAAGAACACCAGUGGCGAAGGCGGCUUACUGGACUGUAACUGACGCUGAGGUACGAAAGCGUGGGGAGCGAACAGGAUUAGAUACCCUCGUAGUC
RNAcentral lists this ribosomal RNA (439 nucleotides) under uncultured bacterium. RNAcentral describes it as "partial 16S ribosomal RNA". It matches the Rfam family "Bacterial small subunit ribosomal RNA", at positions 339 to 795 of the family's 1533-position model. The record is from RNAcentral.